GAGAUGACGUAGAGACUGAGUGGAUUCGUGAAGCACUACCAGAUCUAUGAACUUUAAGCUGUUUGUCUUUGGCUGGUCAUCAGUUUAAUUUCUUCACACUUUAGAAAGAAACUACCUAGGAACAACAAUACUUUUGCUGAAAACAAGAACCUCAGUUUGAACUCUAGCACAUGCUUCUUCAAAACGCCAUGCUUGGACUGAAUGUACUCCCGGAGAAGCAGGGCACAGCUUCAGUAACCCGGCGGAGUUGCACCUGGUUGCCUCAAGAGUUAAUUUGGCAGCUUCACUUCCAGGAACUGCUUUCAAAGUUGUUUGUCAUCCCUUUCUGUGGGGGCGCAUAAUGAAACACAGACGUGGGGAAGCAGAGAAAUGCAUGGAGGAUGGAAAACAGGAAAAAGUAUGAAAGAAAAGUCAGUGAAGGGAGUAUAAGGCAAGAUUCAUGGAAGACAAGAAAAAAAUUCACAGAUCAAGACUCCAGAUUUCUGUUCAGCAGCAGUGUAUAAUAACCCUGAUCUCAGAGCUGGAAGUGAGGACACUGAGGGCAAAAUCAGCUAGGUCUUUUUCUUGAGUUCAUGCAUCUUGUGACAUUCUCUGAGGCUCCAUAUCCCUGUCAGACAACCUGCACCGUGGUGAGGAUCAGCAAAGGGCCUGCGAACAGACCUACUUUGGGAAGUAUUCAGAGGUGAUGGGCACCACAAAUUGAGGAAAAGGAGCUGUGAGUCUGUGUUAAGAUAAAUCACAAAAGGAGGGAACAGAAGAGGAAGAACAGCUGCGUGAAGGGUCACUUGUUUAAAAAUGUGAACGUGUACCCACGCCCUCCGAAAGCAAUUCUAACAACUUGCAGUCCCCGCCGUCCCUUUGCGAGCACAGAUGUCGCGUGGACGGGGUACGGCCGCAGCGACAAGAGGUGACCCGCCGCU
Molecule: long non-coding RNA, 920 nt
Organism: Rhea pennata
Lineage: Eukaryota; Metazoa; Chordata; Aves; Rheiformes; Rheidae
Exons: 7
Source: RefSeq, a predicted model, not a curated record